Molecule: long non-coding RNA, 3375 nt
Organism: Bubalus bubalis (water buffalo)
Lineage: Eukaryota; Metazoa; Chordata; Mammalia; Artiodactyla; Bovidae
Exons: 4
Source: RefSeq, a predicted model, not a curated record
UCGAACCUUUUGAUGUACUUUGUGUGCAUGUGUUUCUGUCACAUACGUGCCACAGUGGAACAGAUUUUGUUUUGACACUAUUUUGGUUCAUGAUGUUAUACUUUGACUAUUUUACAAUAAUAGCCAAUGUAAACAAACAUCUUUGGGAUUCUCAAAUUAUUACUUGUGAUUCUUGGACAUUGCAGCUCUGAGAUACUGACGCAUUCCUAGCUUUUCCAAGGACACCGUAUGUUAACAGCCGUGCCAGCCUCAUUAUCCCUCCAGCCGGGCUCCGGGCUGCUUCCUAAUGAGCGUUGUGCGGGAUUACUUUGCACACUCGCAAAGUUGAGGAAGGCACUGCCUUCUCCCAGGCUCAUGUGUGUACCCUGAUGCAGUAAAACUGCUAAAUAUGGUGAAAGUGUUCUGGUGUUUCUUCCUCUAUCGGCCAUGUCAGAGUCCAGUCAGCCUGGAUGAGUGGAAUUCGAUUCGACUGGCAGGCCAACCAGUUCUACAUUCAUUUAAAGAUCAACUUAAGGGGACUAUGAGGGACGGCCCCCUCCCCUCGCCCUCCGGGAGGCUGGAGGAUGGGCAGCCGGUUCCCGCGGCUCCCAGUCUCUGCCCGCGGCCGACCCGCGUCUGCGUCCUCAUUACCACUACAAAGCUGGGCAGACGUCGCCUCUUUCCAGAGCUGCGCUUUCAGCUGCGAACAUCAAGAGGCCAGAAAACAUCCAAGUGGGCCCGAGGACGCAGACGCCGCCUCGGUCCUGGCUUUAUCUCUAGGGAAAGUUCCAUUUUAAGAACCAGAUGCCAACAUUCCCGGACAGUUUAUGGUAUCCGGAUCCCUCGGGGUGCGCAUCCGCGGCUUAGAGUGUUAGCAGCAAUUAUUUAUCGUCUGCCCUGGAGAGGAGGUCCUGAACACGACUGUCCUCGGCGGACCCUGGGGGUGGGGGUGGGGUGGGGACACACGACUGUUCCCGAUCCGGUUAUCUGGUUUAGCAGAGUUUGUUGUGGUUUUCGAGGAAACAGCAUCUGGGUUACAUAAGGAUUCAAGUUUUUGCUUUGCUUGUUUAUUUAAUACCUUGGCAAGAGGGAGCCCUCACUCUGAAACCAGAUAACCGAAUUUGGGUUUAAAACAGCCUUAGAUGAGGGGCAACGAGAGGGGAAGAAAAUGAACCAAACCACAAAAAGCAAACAAGGGGAUGUUUAUUUUUCUCCCUUUGGGUAGUUUUGAAGACCUGCCUAACCUCUUACUUCUCGUCGCGCACAGCUAAUAAAUUGCAUUAACAAAGCACUUCAGCUACUACCGUGGCUUAGCGGACAUCCCUCCCCCGCGCCGCCCCCACCCCAGCCCUAAUUCCUUCUAGGAUUCGCGCGCGGUCCUGUUUGCCCAGAGAUCUCAAGAGCACCAGGAAAAACGGCGUGCUAAAUCCAAUUUCUUUCAACCGUCUGAUCUCCUUGUAGGGAGAUCACCUUUCAGCCCCGUUCAAAGAAAGCAAAGUUUGGAAAGUUUGGCGGAGGGGCCGAUUUAACUACCAGCACGGCAAAUAUUUAGUUACAAACGCUGUGAAGUGCCCAGAUUUGUGGCCGCGUUUGGCUUUCACAAAGGAUUUUCCUGUGACUUUUGUUCCGGUCACCAAAUUAAAAAAGAAAAUUAACUUGAGCGAGAGAUAAGGGCUUGGAAAACAACCCCGGGCCGCCCGCGAGCUGGCGGGCCGCGGGACUGGCGUCGCCGAGUCUGCGCCGCCCCGAGGCGCGCGUCGCGGGGGUCCGGCCCCCGCGGGGAGCCCGGGUCACCGCUCGGACCCCGGGCCGCCGCCCACCGUGAGCCAACCCUCGCGGCACACAGCGCCGCGGCCGCCGGGCUGCCUGCCGGCGUCCGUGGGAAACCGCGGUAACCCUCUCUAGCCAGCGACAAGGGCGGGCUUGUCCGGAAUCAGGCUGCAUCUUAAUAUUAUAGUACGGCCCCCAAAGCAAAACCCAAGGCCCCGCUUACGAGUCUCUUAACAAGAAACACAUUGUGCGCUUUUUUCCCCCUCCUUUUUGGCCGAAGCCACAUUGGCGCGCUGGCCACGGUACUGUGAGCCAAGUCCAUGACUUCAGAGGGGAGGGACCCGCCUGCCCCGCACCACGUGCGCGCCCGGCCCGGAUGGCCACCCCGCCGCGCCCUGCCGCCCUGUCCCGCCGACAGGUCAGGGGCUCCGGCCGGGGCCAGGGCGCGCUCGGCGGACACGCGUCCUGCGCCCGCGGCUCUUUGGCCGCUGCCUUUUCCCGACCCGGGGAGGUACCCAGGAGGCGCCAGUGCGGUAACUGAUCGCUGGCCGCUCUAGUCGGAGACGCUUUAUUUUAAAAUACUUUGACAGCCUUCUGUGUCCCCCACCCCCAAGUCCUUGGGGCUUUUACUCCCAGGUUCUACCAUCCCUCUUCCCUAAAAAGGACAAUUUACAGUAUACCUUCUCUCAACUGGAAAUAGCCCAAGGGUUCUGCAAGCCCUCUGAGCCCUGUCACGUGUCAUUGCUGUCCCUGUCCAGAGGAGGUACAGGAUCUAGGGCUGCAUUUUCAGGGAGGUAUUAACACUGAGGGACUGAACCUGACUCUGUACUGACAGAAGUUCACCUCGGGUCUGAGGACUUCACUUCUUAGUGUGGGUAACCUUUACAGGCAGAGUCCUGGGGCCCACAUCUCUAGAGAUUCUGCUUAACUGGGUUUGGUGAGCGGCCAAGGAAACGCUGAGGAGACAUGGAUGCAGGUGGUGCGGGUUCCACACUGAUGGAAUGACAGCAGGAAUGUGGCAAUGAGAAGACCUGCAUUUGUACUGAAAAUGUUUGCUGAGCAAGGGGUCCCAGGGAGAAGCAAGAGCUGAAGAACACGGCGCUGAAUGGAAGUGCCGACAUCCACCGCUGAGCAAGGACUGUGAAACCAUUCACGGAUGGAUUUUGACCGUUAGGGAAUAGAUACCAAAUGUUUUUUGAUCCUGUCAGGAUCAAGAGAAAAAAACCAGUAAUUCAGUGAUUACUUAAAACAAAAAAUAAUUUAUUUAUUUUAAUUGGAAGCUAAUUACUUUACAGUAUUGUAGUGGUUUUGCCAUACAUUGACAUGAAUCGGUCAUGGGUGUACAUGUGUCAGUGAUUGCUUUUUAAAAACAUGUGACAGUCACAUGGCCUGAGUUUCAUUUUGUUGUUUAAUUUUUAACCGAUAGUACUUCCUUCCAGCUUGCUUCUGAAAGAAAAUUGUAUUUAGAGGUGACCUGCUGUUUACUAGAGUAGAGGGAAGACAGCAUGGGACUUCUCAAAGCUGUCCCGGUUUUUCUUACAUUGUACUGUUCCCCUGCCCCUACCAUGUAAAGCCUUUUGGAUAUUUGAGUAAAUGUCAGCUCUGGUGUUUGUCCCAUUCCCCUUC